This is a non-coding RNA of Crassisporium funariophilum, 91 nucleotides long. The record is from the annotation of a GenBank genome assembly. NCBI's taxonomy places the organism in Eukaryota, Fungi, Basidiomycota, Agaricomycetes, Agaricales, Crassisporiaceae.
UCGAGUAUGGUGUAACGGCUAACAUUACCGCCUUUCAUGCAUCACUGCUAAAGCUACGCGGUAGCUCGGGGUUCGAUUCCCCGUACUCGAA